Molecule: ribosomal RNA, 252 nt
Filed under: uncultured bacterium
Lineage: Bacteria
Description: partial 16S ribosomal RNA
Rfam family: Bacterial small subunit ribosomal RNA
Source: RNAcentral
UACGAAGGGGGCGAGCGUUAUUCGGAAUCACUGGGCGUAAAGCGUGCGUAGGCUGCUUGGAAAGUUGGAAGUGAAAGCCCAGGGCUCAACCCUGGAAUUGCUUUCAAAACUACCAGGCUAGGAUUGGGAGAGGAUAGCGGAAUUGUCAGUGUAGCAGUGAAAUGCGUAGAUAUUGACAGGAACACCAGUGGCGCAAGCGGCUAUCUGGACCAACAUCGACGCUGAGACGCGAAAGCGUGGGGAGCGAACAGG